CACCUCCUAGGUCACAGUGAGAUGGCAGCGUCCCGGCCAGGAAGUGUCCUUGAGCUGGGCCUGCCUGCACCUUGGAAGUGGACUCGCCGUCUCUCUGAGGGAGGCAGGUCUGUAGUUGGAGCUGUCCCGCCUGCGGCGAAGGCCAAGGGGAGCCCAAACGCCUUCAUAACUGUCCUCGCAUAACCUCCUCCAGCGUCGGGGGCAGACGGCAUAACAUGAGGACACCGAGGUGCAGGGAGGGUAAGUGGCUUUGCCAAGGUCAGGGUCUGUAAGGACCCAGCCUGGACGCAUCCCUGGAGGCCACAAAUGUCUGUCCUCAGGAAAAGAACAUGGCCUUGAAGAAACUGCUAAGGGUCCCAGCUCUGGGUUCUGCCCGGGCGGCCUUGGGGAGUCCCCAGCUCAGUUCCCAGGAGCCACACGGGCACCCUGCAGGCCAGUCCCGCCACUGACUGCGGCACAUGUUGCCCAGUUCCAAGGUGCAGGCUCAGGGCUGCUUCCUGACUGUGGACGCCGCCUUCUCACUGUGACCUGGAGAGGUGCAGGGGUCGGGGAGGCUCUCUGUCUGACUUCCACUGGGUGAGGGCCCCACGCCUAUGACCUCAUUUAACCUCAGUUAAAUAGCCCAUUUCCAAAUAUGGCCGCUGGGGUCAGGGCGCCACCGUGUGACUCUACAGGGACACCACUCAGUUCAAGGCACCUUUCAAGUACUUGUUCAGGAAUGUUGUGUCCAGGCCCCCUGGGGUGGAGCAGUGUGGGACCCCCACAACUGAGCAAAAGCGAGGCCUGCCCGUCCCGGGCCGUCAGCAGGUGCUGGCUCUCUGCCUUGGGCGGGGAAGGAGCCUGGAGAAACACAUGGCCCAAGCUUUGCCUGGGAGACUGGCUGGGGCAGCCAGGAGAUGUCCAUCACUGGACACUGCGAUUGUGGAGCCCUCUGGUGGGUUGAGCAGAGGGACCUGCCCGUCACUGGGCUGUGGAGCCUCCUCCACCUGGGAAGCCCAGGCGGGUCCACCAAGCAGCGGCUGCUCAGCGUGUAGUUGCUGAGGCCCAGGAUACCCUGGGCCUGUUCUCAUUCUUCAGGCUUCGCCGAUAAAUAUCACCCUGGAGAAAGCCCAGGCAGGGAAGCCAGGAUAGAAAUGCCACUUACCAGUGGUCUUUCAUGGGCUUAUUUCAAAUCUCCAGGCCUGGGAACGGGACCCGAUGGAUUUUUAAGGACUCCUAUUGUGUUCAUUUCCCACAAAAACCAGGGUCACGCUCAGGGCCAAGUGAUGCAAAUAACUCUCCCUCUCCAGAUUAGAGCGGAGAGCGCGAGGCUGGAGUCUGCGCUCACACCAACGGGCCAGGUGCCACGUGCCCACUGUGGCGUGUUCCCCAGAGUGCACACACACGUAAGCACACCUGACACCCAUGCACUCGGGGCUCACUGGCAUGUGUGCACACGCAUGUUCCUGAGUCAGCAGUGACCGUGAGCACACACCACCUCUGCACACGGCGGACUCGCACGCAGAGCAUGAUAAAUGCACGUGCAGACAUGCAGCUCUCACGGGCUCCCUGCCACGCGUGCUCCUGCAGAGACACAUAUGGCCCGUGCGUGCACAGCAUACGGUAGCACCGGCAGACGAGAGCUGGCCCUCCACAUGAAGUCCCCAGUGGCUCCAAGUCAGACAUUAAAAGCAUUAAUAAAAGACGCUGCCAGAAGUUCAGUGGCAGCAUUGAUUUCCUGGUUGUCGGAGCAGAGUAUAUAAACCCCAAGUGGCAUUUAAUACUGG
This 1766-nucleotide long non-coding RNA is filed under the name Marmota monax (woodchuck). The record is from RNAcentral. Lineage: Eukaryota; Metazoa; Chordata; Mammalia; Rodentia; Sciuridae.